AGCGCGGCCGGAGCGCGGCGGCGGCGGCAUGGCCGGGGUCCCGAUCUGCGCCCUCCUCCCGCUCCUCGUCGGCGUCUGCGGCGCCGUCACCGGCUCUCGGGUCUAUCCCGCCAACGAAGUUACCUUGCUGGAUUCCAGAUCAGUUCAGGGCGAACUGGGGUGGAUAGCAAGUCCCCUGGAAGGAGGGUGGGAGGAGGUGAGCAUCAUGGAUGAGAAGAACACUCCUAUCCGCACCUACCAAGUCUGCAACGUGAUGGAGCCCAGUCAGAAUAACUGGUUACGAACUGAUUGGAUUCCCCGAGAGGGGGCUCAGAGGGUUUAUAUCGAAAUCAAGUUCACGCUCAGAGACUGCAACAGCCUGCCAGGUGUCAUGGGAACUUGCAAGGAGACUUUCAACCUUUAUUACUAUGAAUCAAACAACGAUAAAGAGCGCUUUAUUCGCGAGAGCCAGUUUGCCAAGAUCGACACCAUUGCUGCCGAUGAGAGCUUCACCCAGGUGGACAUUGGUGACAGGAUCAUGAAGCUGAACACGGAGAUCAGGGAUGUGGGACCGCUCAGCAAGAAGGGGUUUUAUUUGGCUUUCCAGGACGUCGGUGCCUGCAUUGCUUUGGUCUCUGUCCGCGUGUUCUACAAGAAGUGCCCGCUGACGGUUCGGAACCUGGCGCAGUUUCCAGACACCAUUACUGGGGCUGACACCUCCUCUCUGGUGGAGGUUCGUGGCUCCUGUGUCAACAACUCGGAAGAGAAGGAUGUGCCAAAAAUGUACUGUGGGGCAGAUGGCGAAUGGCUGGUGCCCAUUGGCAACUGCUUGUGCAAUGCUGGCUAUGAGGAGCGCAACGGAGAAUGCCAAGCUUGCAAAAUCGGAUACUACAAGGCUCUCUCGACAGACGCUGCCUGUGCCAAGUGCCCUCCCCACAGCUACUCCAUCUGGGAAGGCUCCACGUCCUGCACCUGCGAUCGCGGCUUCUUCCGAGCCGAAAGCGACGCUGCCUCCAUGCCCUGCACCCGCCCUCCGUCUGCUCCCCAGCACCUGAUUUCCAAUGUCAACGAGACCUCAGUGAACCUGGAGUGGAGCCCCCCGCAGAACAAGGGUGGCCGGGAGGACAUCUCCUACAACGUGGUGUGCAAGCGCUGCGGGGCGGGCGAGCCGAGCCGCUGCCGCUCCUGUGGCAGUGGGGUGCACUUCAGCCCCCAGCAGAACGGCCUGAAAACCACCAAAGUCUCCAUCACCGACCUCCUGGCACACACCAACUACACCUUUGAAGUCUGGGCAGUGAAUGGAGUGUCCAAGCAAAACCCCAGCCAGGACCAGGCUGUGUCGGUCACUGUGACAACUAACCAAGCAGCUCCGUCCCCGAUUGCAUUGAUCCAGGCUAAGGAGAUAACAAGGCACAGUGUUGCCUUGGCUUGGCUGGAACCUGACAGGCCAAAUGGAGUCAUCCUGGAGUAUGAGGUCAAAUACUAUGAAAAGGACCAGAACGAGCGCAGCUAUCGCAUCGUGAAAACGGCCUCCAGGAACACCGACAUCAAAGGGCUCAACCCCCUGACCUCCUACGUGUUCCACGUCAGGGCCAGGACAGCAGCAGGCUAUGGAGACUUCAGUGGGCCCUUCGAGUUCACCACCAACACAGUUCCUUCCCCCAUCAUUGGCGAUGGUACCAAUCCCACAGUGCUUCUUGUUUCAGUGGCUGGCAGUGUUGUUCUAGUGGUCAUUCUCAUUGCAGCCUUUGUCAUCAGCAGGAGGCGCAGCAAGUACAGCAAGGCCAAGCAGGAGGCAGAUGAGGAGAAGCACCUGAACCAAGGUGUUAGAACAUAUGUGGAUCCUUUUACAUAUGAGGAUCCAAACCAAGCUGUGAGGGAAUUUGCCAAAGAAAUUGAUGCCUCCUGCAUAAAGAUUGAAAAAGUUAUUGGUGUGGGGGAGUUUGGUGAAGUGUGCAGUGGACGUCUCAAAGUGCCAGGAAAAAGAGAGAUCUGUGUUGCUAUCAAGACUCUAAAGGCUGGUUACACUGAUAAACAAAGGAGAGACUUUCUGAGUGAGGCCAGUAUCAUGGGACAAUUUGACCACCCCAAUAUCAUCCACUUGGAAGGUGUAGUCACUAAAUGUAAGCCAGUAAUGAUCAUAACUGAGUACAUGGAGAAUGGUUCCUUGGAUGCCUUCCUCAGGAAGAACGAUGGCAGGUUCACAGUCAUCCAGCUGGUGGGGAUGCUGCGUGGCAUUGGCUCGGGGAUGAAGUACCUGUCUGACAUGAGCUACGUGCACCGCGACCUCGCUGCUCGCAACAUCCUGGUCAACAGCAACCUGGUCUGCAAAGUCUCUGACUUCGGCAUGUCCCGCGUGCUGGAGGAUGACCCUGAGGCAGCUUACACCACACGGGGGGGCAAGAUCCCCAUCAGGUGGACAGCGCCCGAGGCCAUCGCCUACCGCAAGUUCACCUCGGCCAGCGACGUCUGGAGCUACGGCAUCGUCAUGUGGGAGGUGAUGUCCUACGGGGAGAGGCCCUACUGGGACAUGUCCAACCAAGAUGUGAUCAAGGCCAUCGAGGAGGGGUACCGGCUGCCCCCGCCCAUGGACUGCCCCAUCGCGCUGCACCAGCUGAUGCUGGACUGCUGGCAGAAGGAGCGCAGCGACCGGCCCAAGUUUGGCCAGAUCGUCAACAUGCUGGACAAGCUCAUCCGCAACCCCAACAGCCUCAAGAGGACAGGCAGCGAGAGCUCCAGACCUAGCACAGCCCUGCUGGAUCCCAGCUCCCCCGAGUUCUCGGCGGUUGUUUCUGUCAGUGACUGGCUCCAAGCCAUGAAAAUGGAGCGAUACAAGGAUAACUUCACAGCUGCUGGCUAUACCACCCUAGAGGCUGUGGUGCAUAUGAACCAGGAGGACCUGGCCAGGAUUGGGAUCACGGCCCUGGCGCACCAGAACAAGAUCCUGAGCAGCGUCCAAGCGAUGCGCACCCAAAUGCAACAGAUGCACGGCAGGAUGGUUCCCGUCUGAGCCAGCACUGAAUAAACUCAAAACUCUUGAAAUUAGUUUACCUCAUCCAUGCACUUUAAUUGAAGAACUGCACUUUUUUUACUUCGUCUCCUCGCCCGUGGAAAUCAAGAUCUGCAGCGUUGCUUGAUGUACAGAUUGCGGAAGCAGAGCGUGUGUUGGGAGGGGGCCUCCAGAUAUGACGAGCCGUCCUUUGAAACCAGACCUGGAACAAAUGGUUUCUUGGAACAUGCUUCUCUGUUGAUCAAUGAUAUGUAAAAUACAUGUAUCUAUAUAAAUAUAAAGUCACAUUCAAGUUUUGAUGCUAUGUUUGCUGCCAGAUACUGUGCUUAAAAAACAACAGCAUUACUUUCCUUCUCCCUGUGACCUGUAGGAUUACAACCAUAGUGUUUUAUUUGUGGGUGAAACCACCAUUGUGUAUCUUUCACUGGAAUGAAGAAUCUGCCCUAGGAUAUUCUUUGCAGACUUGAUGCAUCACUAACACCUUGCAAAAACCUCAGUGAGAAUAUCAUGUGGCUGAUCAGUGCCUGCCAAUUAGUGAUCUACCCGUUUAUGGGCUUGAGAUGUGAAGUGACCCACCUUGUGGAUUACUGGGCCAAACUGGACUUCUGGGGAGGUUCUUGGCUGUUGUGCCAUGCUGAAGCCUGCCAUUGAAAGACUUUUGUGACCAUCUUGCCAGUAGUCAGCUGUGACAAUCGUGGCUGUGGAGCUUUCAGACUUCUUUUCUCUUUCAAGAAACUUACUCCCUUUGCCUCACGGAAGGGAAAUGGAUUUUGCUUUCACAGCCUCAUAGCCCAUCCUGUUGAUCACAUUGACCCUGGAGGAACACAGAGCAGACAUGAAGCCUUCUGGACCCACAGUUGCGUCUUCCAUAGCACUGAUUCUGGAAAACACAUGCUGAACAGUCAUCAGUCCCUGAAGAGAGUGUGACUUUUACUUUCUCUUUUUUUUUCCUGGGCCACCCACUCCGUUGUUUUUCUCCACUGAGCGAUAACUGACUCGUUAAGACUCAGCACCCAGUUGUCACUUGAGGAAUGUACUGUGUCAAAGCCCUGCAGACUUCUGGAUUUUGUUUUUCCUCCUCUUCUGCUUUCUCUGCUUACCUUUGGUUUUAUUUAUAUAUUUUGUUGUUGUCUCUCCUCAUUCCUCUGGCUGUCACCGCUGCAUCCCGGACAAAUGAAGGUGACAGAGCACUACACAUCUUACCAUGGACGCCAGGCCAGGUGCCACAGCAAAGAACUCAGUUCCUGUGAGCUGCCUGUGUACAUUGCUGAAGUGACAUUUUACACUAAAGGUGCCAUUGCAGUGAUAUAAAUAUAUUUUUUUCCUUGAAUGGAUAAUGGAUUAUUAUCUCCUCCGAAAGGUGCGUACGUGUGCUUGUGUGCGUGUGUCGGCGUGCAAGUCACCUCCUGUGUAGAACUGCCUGUGAACGUGCCCCAAACACCUCUGUCCUGUGAGACCAGGCUGAUAGCUCAUGUCUGAAACGAUAACAAGAACACACACAUUAAGAAAGUGUUUAAAUUUCUGUAUCUGUAAGUGUAUUUUUUAGCUGCCACACUAACGUUGUUGAGUAGUUCAGCAGCCUGAAACAGGGGCAAUUUCAAGUUAGUUUUGGAGUAAUGGAUGCAGGAUCUAAAGGGUGCUAAAGGUUCUUGUUAAGUGUUUUUUAUUUGUACUAGUGCCCUGCUCAUGACCAAGAACAACCAGUUUCUCAGUGGCAAGGUGGUGGAGGCAACACCUGCAUCUCCAUCCACUGGCAAUCCUGAACUGAAUUCUUACGUAGCCUUUUUUAUCUUCAAAAAUAGGAUUUUAAAGACUUGUUGAAUGCUAGCAAAUAUAUGCAGUUCUUCCAUUCACAGAAGCACCUUGCUCUGUGUGCAACGUAAUAAUCAGAACACUUCCCUGGUUCCCAGCACAGAUAAGGAACAAAAAUGCAACAAGACCUGUAAAGUUAACAGUUAGCAGAGUUGUGCAGUGUGUCCUGUUCCUUGUGCAGUUGAAGGGCAGUUGAAGAGCAGCAGAAGACAGACACUCCGUGGCCCAGGGAGCGUGCUGGCACUGCCUAGGAGAGCUUGCAGUGUUUGGGGAAUUCACCCUGGUGUGCUGUGGGGCAGCUGGAGAGGAGCUGAGCCCCUGCACCCAGGGACACAGGGCCACCAGCAGCAGGCGGGGGACAGGUGGCCGUGCUGCCCACGUGGGCCAGGGGCUCUCAGGCACUUGUGGGGUAGCCUGGGCACUCAGCCCUGCCCAGAGCUGUGAGCUGGUGGCCUGAGGUUGCUCCUGUUCCCUCUUCCCCCCCUCGCUGACCCUCCGUGGUAAUUCCUGCUCUGAAGGAGCAGCAGCAGGGCUGGCAGGGGAGUGAGGGCAGCUGGGCAUGGUGGGCACCAGGAUGUGCCAGCUGUGCCUGGCAGAGGUGGCCACCACAGAGAGGCUGGGCCACCACAGGCUGCUCCAGACACUGCUGCCCUUGGGGACAGGCCAGCUUGUCCCCCACGAGUGUGUUCAAUUGUCCUGCUCGCACACCAAUGGUUGAUGUUUGUCCGGGUUUCUUGCUGUGCUAAUUUUGUGAUGGAUCUUAUGUAUUAAAAAUAUAUAUGUAUAAAAUACAAAAAAAAAAAAAAAAAAAAAGCUGGUAAGUAACCAGUAAACAGGACUUAAAAAGCAGUAUUUUUCUUUUAUGUGACAUUUUCAUAACCAGAAAAAAAAAUCUGAAAUACUAAUCAGACAAAUAAAAAGAGAGUGCAUUUAUUUUUUUGUAUCACUGCAAGUAUGUUGGAAUAUGCAAGGACUGUGUAAAUUAGAAUGUAUGAGGCAUAUUAUAAUUUAGUUCAUACUGAAAAAAUCUAACAGCAUUUCUUGGUUCGUGCAUUUGAACGAUCUCUGGGUUAGAUAUAUAGAUUUUUCUAUUUUGUUUUAAUUUGUAAUUUUUUUCUCCCUCCGUGAAUUUUAGGUACACAUAACUUAUGUCAUUUAUUUAUGGUCUUUUAUACCUAGUUUGUAAAAUUGUAAAAUAGCAAACAAUGCAAACAUUUGCAUUUGAAAAUAAUAAAGUAGUUGCUGUACAAACCUGAAA
Melospiza melodia melodia is the source of this 6059-nucleotide RNA transcript. It is a transcript of the gene named EPH receptor A4, with no coding region annotated. The record is from RefSeq and is a predicted model, not a curated record. The transcript is spliced from 18 exons. NCBI's taxonomy places the organism in Eukaryota, Metazoa, Chordata, Aves, Passeriformes, Passerellidae.